RNAcentral lists this unclassified non-coding RNA (898 nucleotides) under Paracidovorax citrulli. Its description in RNAcentral is "Acidovorax citrulli partial contains 16S ribosomal RNA, 16S-23S ribosomal RNA intergenic spacer, and 23S ribosomal RNA". The stretch from base 1 to 152 matches the Rfam family "Bacterial small subunit ribosomal RNA", at positions 1382 to 1533 of the family's 1533-position model. Lineage: Bacteria; Pseudomonadati; Pseudomonadota; Betaproteobacteria; Burkholderiales; Comamonadaceae. The record is from RNAcentral.
UGUACACACCGCCCGUCACACCAUGGGAGCGGGUUCUGCCAGAAGUAGGUAGCCUAACCGUAAGGAGGGCGCUUACCACGGCAGGGUUCGUGACUGGGGUGAAGUCGUAACAAGGUAGCCGUAUCGGAAGGUGCGGCUGGAUCACCUCCUUUCUGGAAAACAGCAUUCAAUAUUGAACGCCCACACUUAUCGGUUGUUGGAAGAAGUCGGUGCUAACCGACAUGGGUCUGUAGCUCAGCUGGUUAGAGCACCGUCUUGAUAAGGCGGGGGUCGUUGGUUCGAGCCCAACUAGACCCACCAAAUCUUCCGAACAUAAGAUGCGAGGAUCAGUGGGGGAUUAGCUCAGCUGGGAGAGCACCUGCUUUGCAAGCAGGGGGUCGUCGGUUCGAUCCCGUCAUCCUCCACCAACCAAUACGCUCUGCGGUAGGGCGAAGAAACCAACACCAAAGCGGCUUCGCGAGAGGCCUCUUUGUUGUUGGUCCGGUAUAGACCGGAUCAAUCGGCUGUUCUUUAAAAAUUCAUAGAGUCGAAUCAGCGUUGCCGGCGGAAAGCAGGAAACUGCACCGUGCCGCCGGUGACAAAAAUUUGAUUGCGUCAAAACGAAUAUUCAAUUGAGCGAAAGCUUGUUGAAAUUCAGUAAUGACGAAUUGUUCUCUAGGUAGCAAUACCGAAGAAGAAUUCACAUUACGGCAUAACGCGCGAGGUGAAAGACCUCGCAAGUCCUUGAAAGAAAGCGGAGAUGUCUCGCAAGAGAUGUCAAAGUUAUAGGGUCAAGUGACUAAGAGCAUGUGGUGGAUGCCUUGGCGAUGAUAGGCGACGAAAGACGUGAUAGCCUGCGAUAAGCUUCGGGGAGCUGGCAAAUAAGCUUUGAUCCGGAGAUUUCUGAAUGGGGAAACCC